Molecule: ribosomal RNA, 497 nt
Filed under: uncultured bacterium
Lineage: Bacteria
Description: partial 16S ribosomal RNA
Rfam family: Bacterial small subunit ribosomal RNA
Source: RNAcentral
GAUGAACGCUGGCGGCGUGCCUAAUACAUGCCAGUCGAGCGAACGGACGAGAAGCUUGCUUCUCUGAUGUUAGCGGCGGACGGGUGAGUAACCCGUGGAUAACCUACCUAUAAGACUGGGAUAACUUCGGGAAACCGGAGCUAAUACCGGAUGAUAUUUUGAACCGCAUGGUUCAAAAGUGAAAGACGGUCUUGCUGUCACUUAUAGAUGGAUCCGCGCUGCAUUAGCUAGUUGGUAAGGUAACGGCUUACCAAGGCAACGAUGCAUAGCCGACCUGAGAGGGUGAUCGGCCACACUGGAACUGAGACACGGUCCAGACUCCUACGGGAGGCAGCAGUAGGGAAUCUUCCGCAAUGGGCGAAAGCCUGACGGAGCAACGCCGCGUGAGUGAUGAAGGUCUUCGGAUCGUAAAACUCUGUUAUUAGGGAAGAACAUAUGUGUAAGUAACUGUGCACAUCUUGACGGUACCUAAUCAGAAAGCCACGGCUAACUACGUG